GUGAGCUUUCUGGCGCAAAGGGGCAGUCCAGACCACACCCAGGUGGGUUCUACACAUUGGUCAUGGAUGAGAAUAUGUCGGUGUGUCGCACGUUACCGAUGGAGGUGUCGCCACAGUUUAUUAACUGGGCGACUCUGCAGGGUGGGGAGAUGACCAUACAGACCACACAGGCGUCCGAGGCCAAUCAGGCGGUCGCGUCCCUCGCUGAGGCCGCUGUCGCCGCCUCCCAGGAGAUGCAGCAGGGAGCCACCGUCACCAUGGCACUUAACGGGUAGGGCGUGUACAUUAGGGCACACUGUCACCAUGGCAUUUAA
Molecule: long non-coding RNA, 314 nt
Organism: Oncorhynchus kisutch (coho salmon)
Lineage: Eukaryota; Metazoa; Chordata; Actinopteri; Salmoniformes; Salmonidae
Exons: 3
Source: RefSeq, a predicted model, not a curated record